Zingiber officinale is the source of this 531-nucleotide long non-coding RNA. RefSeq lists it as uncharacterized. The transcript has 3 exons. NCBI's taxonomy places the organism in Eukaryota, Viridiplantae, Streptophyta, Magnoliopsida, Zingiberales, Zingiberaceae. The record is from RefSeq and is a predicted model, not a curated record.
GGCCUUCUGCCCGCGAUGCUGACCCCCUCUGCCGCCGGUGACGAGCCACCUCUCCGACUUCCCUGUGCGCCGGCCGAAGUUUCCCUUCCUUGUGUCUCUGAUCUAGAGUGAUUGCGGCCUUGUUUCUGCCCUAUGCGACGCCGCCUCUGUACACUAUGCCUAGGUCGCCGGAAAUCAAGAGCUUAAGAAGGUGACAGGGGGUAGUUGUAACCCGGCCAGUGGGACUGAAGGUGAGGGCUUAGGGUUUGUUUUUGUUUUCAAUUCUGUGCUUUGAUUCUUAUCCUGCCGUGAGCAGCACUUGGGUGUGGGAUGGCUAAUUUAGUGUAUAGGGUUUGGUGGACAGCGGCUUCACCAACUUCUGAUUCUCGCUGUCAUCAUCGAAGAAGAGCAACUUGAUCAGGGCAGUAGGUUGUUACGUCUGGCCAGUAGGUUUGAUUUGGGGCUGUUGGAACUUGUCGUGGCAAUCUUGCUUUGGUUGAGGGCAUCAAGGAAGAGUGGAUUUCCAGCCACUCACCUUGUUCCAGCAGCAAA